CUCCGGGGAUAACAGGCUGAUACCGCCCAAGAGUUCAUAUCGACGGCGGUGUUUGGCACCUCGAUGUCGGCUCAUCACAUCCUGGGGCUGUAGUCGGUCCCAAGGGUAUGGCUGUUCGCCAUUUAAAGUGGUACGCGAGCUGGGUUCAGAACGUCGUGAGACAGUUCGGUCCCUAUCUGCCAUGGGCGUUGGAGAUUUGAGAGGGGCUGCUCCUAGUACGAGAGGACCGGAGUGGACGAACCUCUGGUGUUCCGGUUGUCACGCCAGUGGCAUUGCCGGGUAGCUAUGUUCGGAAGCGAUAACCGCUGAAAGCAUCUAAGCGGGAAGCGCGCCUCAAGAUGAGAUCUCCCGGGGCACAAGCCCCCUGAAGGAACCAUGUAGACUACGUGGUUGAUAGGUCAGGUGUGUAAGUACAGCAAUGUAUUGAGCUAACUGAUACUAAUGAUCCGUGCGGCUUGACCAUAUAACCUCA
This 472-nucleotide ribosomal RNA is filed under the name Stenotrophomonas maltophilia. RNAcentral describes it as "bacterial LSU rRNA". It matches the Rfam family "Bacterial large subunit ribosomal RNA", at positions 2466 to 2925 of the family's 2925-position model. Lineage: Bacteria; Pseudomonadati; Pseudomonadota; Gammaproteobacteria; Lysobacterales; Lysobacteraceae. The record is from RNAcentral.